GGCUGCGAUCCUGGACGGGUCGGACCACGCGUCCCUGCUGCGUGGCGUGCCCGCGGGCUCGGAUUCCGCCGCCGCCGC
Molecule: transfer RNA, 78 nt
Filed under: Streptomyces parvulus
Lineage: Bacteria; Bacillati; Actinomycetota; Actinomycetes; Kitasatosporales; Streptomycetaceae
Description: tRNA-Arg
Source: RNAcentral